RNAcentral lists this long non-coding RNA (524 nucleotides) under Phaseolus vulgaris (common bean). RNAcentral describes it as "long non-coding RNA (PVUL_LNC004138)". Lineage: Eukaryota; Viridiplantae; Streptophyta; Magnoliopsida; Fabales; Fabaceae. The record is from RNAcentral.
AAAUGAUACAGAGUGAGCGCAUAAACAUCCCAGCCUGGCUUCCUCUAUGUAAUCUGAGAAGAGAAGAAAGAAAAAAGGAAAGUGAAUAAAAAAGGGGAAAAAAGGCACAGAAAUAGAAAGUGUGAGAGUGAGGGAAGAAGGGACCUUGAGAAGGGAAUGAGUGGGGCUAGACAUCCUUGGCAAUGAGGUCACCGUUGAUGAGCUCUCUGUAGGCAGCAACGGGCCAGCUGAACCCCCGGAAGAGCAAACGAGAGGCCAGAGGAACGUCGAUGAUGAUCUCCUUCAUGGUAGGCUUUUUCUCAUCCCUGAUGGCAAUAAGGUAACUCCGACCCACCCACCCGAUCCACCCGGCGAUGUACAGAAAGAGGACCCCAGGAGUGAUGAACUCGCCCCAGUGCCUCUGGUCUCCGCUCACGAUCAGGUGCGGCAGCCCGUCGGCGCCGCACAGAAGCCCCUGCUUCGCGUAGUUGUCGAACCGCCGCUUCGUCUUCUCCACCGACGCCUUUAUCGCCAGGGCGGGGGCG